This 347-nucleotide ribosomal RNA is filed under the name uncultured bacterium. RNAcentral's name for it is "partial 16S ribosomal RNA". It matches the Rfam family "Bacterial small subunit ribosomal RNA", at positions 338 to 683 of the family's 1533-position model. The record is from RNAcentral.
CCUACGGGAGGCAGCAGUGAGGAAUAUUGGUCAAUGGGAGAGAUCCUGAACCAGCCAAGCAGCGUGAGGGAAGACGGCCCUAUGGGUUGUAAACCGCUUUUGUCGGAGGACAAACCCCGGCACGUGUCCCGUCCUGCGUGUACCCCAUGAAUAAGCAUCGGCUAACUCCGUGCCAGCAGCCGCGGUAAUACGGGGGAUCCGAGCGUUAUCCGGAUUUAUUGGGUUAAAAGGGGGCGUGGGCGGUCCGUUAAGUCGGCGGUAAAAUUCCGGGGCUCAACCCCGUCGCGCCGUUGAAACUGGCAGCCUUGAGUUGGCGAGAGGUACGCGGAAUGCGCGGUGUAGCGGUG